CAGUCGCCGCGGGAAUACGAAGGGGGCUAGCGUUGUUCGGAUUUACUGGGCGUAAAGGGCGCGUAGGCGGACUGAUAAGUCAGGGGUGAAAUCCCAAGGCACAACCUUGGAACUGCCUUUGAUACUGUUUGUCUUGAGUUCGAGAGAGGUAAGUGGAACUGCGAGUGUAGAGGUGAAAUUCGUAGAUAUUCGCAAGAACACCAGUGGCGAAGGCGGCUUACUGGCUCGAAACUGACGCUGAGGCGCGAAAGCGUGGGGAGCAAACAGGAUUAGAUACCCCCGUAGUCCCUGUCUCUUAUAC
RNAcentral lists this ribosomal RNA (301 nucleotides) under uncultured bacterium. RNAcentral describes it as "partial 16S ribosomal RNA". It matches the Rfam family "Bacterial small subunit ribosomal RNA", at positions 509 to 807 of the family's 1533-position model. The record is from RNAcentral.